RNAcentral lists this ribosomal RNA (750 nucleotides) under uncultured cyanobacterium. Its description in RNAcentral is "bacterial SSU rRNA". It matches the Rfam family "Bacterial small subunit ribosomal RNA", at positions 99 to 881 of the family's 1533-position model. Lineage: Bacteria; Bacillati; Cyanobacteriota. The record is from RNAcentral.
CGGACGGGUGAGUAACGCGUGAGAAUCGGCCCUCAGGUUGGGGGCAACCAUUGGAAACGAUGGCUAAUACCGAAUAAGCCGAGAGGUGAAAGAUUAAUUGCCUGGGGAAGAGCUCGCGUCUGAUUAGCUAGUUGGUGGGGUAAAGGCCUACCAAGGCACCGAUCAGUAACUGGUCUGAGAGGAUGGCCAGUCACACUGGGACUGAGACACGGCCCAGACUCCUACGGGAGGCAGCAGUGGGGAAUUUUCCGCAAUGGGCGAAAGCCUGACGGAGCAAUACCGCGUGGGGGAGGAAGGCUCUUGGGUCGUAAACCUCUUUUCUCAGGGAAGAAUUUAAUGACGGUACCUGAGGAAUAAGCAUCGGCUAACUCCGUGCCAGCAGCCGCGGUAAUACGGAGGAUGCAAGCGUUAUCCGGAAUGAUUGGGCGUAAAGCGUCCGCAGGUGGCAGUGUAAGUCUGCUGUCAAAGGUCAGGGCUCAACCCUGAACAGGCAGUGGAAACUACACAGCUAGAGUGCGGUGGGGGCAGAGGGAAUUCCCAGUGUAGCGGUGAAAUGCGUAGAGAUUGGGAAGAACACCGGUGGCGAAAGCGCUCUGCUAGGCCGCAACUGACACUCAUGGACGAAAGCUAGGGGAGCGAAUGGGAUUAGAUACCCCAGUAGUCCUAGCCGUAAACGAUGGAUAUUAGGCGUAGCUCGUAUCGACCCGAGCUGUGCCGUAGCUAACGCGUUAAGUAUCCCGCCUGGGGAGU